This 1602-nucleotide unclassified non-coding RNA is filed under the name Bombus terrestris (buff-tailed bumblebee). Its description in RNAcentral is "misc RNA ENSBTSG00005034127.1". The record is from RNAcentral. Lineage: Eukaryota; Metazoa; Arthropoda; Insecta; Hymenoptera; Apidae.
AUACAUAUAUACCUUAUAAUAAGCAAGCCAUUUCACCGCUGACAUCUCUGGUUGCUUAAAAUACAAACAGUCUCUAGUAGUUAUAAUAGGAACCGUAUAAUCGACGUAAUCAAGCCUAAUAUUGGUCAUCGAAAAAUCGGACAAUCCGAUAUCUACUUCUCCAGAAGCCACUAAACGAAAUGCCCCGUUCCAGCAUUUAGUCGUCACAUUGAAACUACCAAACUCGAGUUCCUCGGUCACGAUAUCGAGAGUGAAAUUUAGAUAUUUUUCAAGCUCGUUGACCGCUCUACUAAAGUAUCCUUCGAACUUGUCAUCUUUUGUCGCGAAUAUCGAGUUCUACAGCAGACAAACGAAAAUUUGACAGCUCGCAAAACUUUUCCUUUCAAGUCAUUCCUCCUCUCGUGCAGAGUCAAGUUGGACAACAAGUCAACAACUGCUGUUAGAGACUUCAAUUGUUUCUUUGGAUACCACUUGACUAAAUCUGAAAUGACGGUGUUGUUCCCAUCCACGGAAUACCAUUCACGAAGAACAGGGUCACCGGGACACAUCACCAACAUUUCAGUGUCGUAUAACAAAUUAAAUGGAUUUCCCGGCGGAUUGUAGCAAUAGCUUUCCGCGUUCAUCGCCGUAGGCACGAAUAUCACAAACCAUGCAAAAUGGGAUAUUCUAAAGGACUUCGAGUAUUUUGAAAAUUCAGAAACUGCGUCAGAUCCGGAUAUAAAAACGAUGGCCAACGGUCGGAGGAUAUUAUUUCUAUCUAGCGCGUGAAUGUUCUUGAAUGUGCUACUUAAAGUUGCAAUUUGUUCACGAUGAAGAAGACGAGACCAUGUGUGUGAUAAAUAUGUUAGUUUCAAAUCUAAACAAUGUAAACAACAAUGUAAAAGUGAGCAAAUGUAUUGUAUUUCUAAUUAUCAUAUUGUAAAUGAAUUUUCUAUGCGGAAAUAUUUGAAAAUCGUACCAUCGAAAUUUUUAUUCUCGUUAGAAGAAUGCAACAAAAAGACAGCAGAAGCCGAAUAGUAGCUGCGAAUCCAUUUUAUUAAAGGAAUGUACAGCGUUUCGUUGUUGUACAUUUCAGUUCCCGUUAAAUGAAAAAAGAUAGAAAUAACAUUUAAAUACAUUACAAUUUUCAUUCCGUUCAAAUUGAUUGUCUCUUUCUUUCUUUCUAGAACGUCACGAAUAGUGCACGCGUAUAUCACGCAGAAAGACAAUAGGUUGUCGAGAACAUUCAAAAGACUACGAGAAUCGUUAAUAACUGAAUUCUCGUGAGUAGAUGCAAGUAGUUUUAUUCAAGGAUGAACAUUAAAUAUUUACGAAACGUCCGUGCAAACUUUUGACGUGAAAAAUGCAAGUUUUUAAAAAUACGAUCACGUUAGCUACGAUAGUAAUCCAUUAAAUAGGAUGUAACAAUAUUAUUGAAAUUUAUUAUAGCGACAAUGUAAAUGAUGAUACAUGAUAGGCUGAAUGCGAACAAGCAAUAGAGGAGAUAAUAAUAUUAUUUUCAUACUUGAUACAUUUAAAAACUUUAAUUAAUUAAUAUUAAAAAUUAUAAAGACCGAUUAAAAUAUUGAGAGAAUAUUUAUAACGAACAGAAUGCUUAAUCAA